UACGAAGGGGGCGAGCGUUGUUCGGAUUUACUGGGCGUAAAGGGCGCGUAGGCGGCGUGUCAAGUCAGGCGUGAAAGCCCCGGGCUCAACCUGGGAACCGCGCUUGAGACUGGCAUGCUCGAGUUCGGGAGAGGAUGGUGGAAUUCCCAGUGUAGAGGUGAAAUUCGUAGAUAUUGGGAAGAACACCGAUGGCGAAGGCAGCCAUCUGGACCGACACUGACGCUGAGGCGCGAAAGCGUGGGGAGCAAACAGG
Molecule: ribosomal RNA, 253 nt
Filed under: uncultured bacterium
Lineage: Bacteria
Description: partial 16S ribosomal RNA
Rfam family: Bacterial small subunit ribosomal RNA
Source: RNAcentral